AUAAUAUAGGGAUUCAUUGAGAUUCAAAAAUGGGAUGGAGCAAUCCUUAUUUCGGACGUAGGAUGAACUGAAAAAGUUCUGCAUCAUUAACUAUGUAAGAUGCACAUCAGCAUCAAUUAGAUAUCUGGUUAAGAAAAAGAAAAAGUACGAUUAAAUACAAAGAAAUGGACCAGAUUUUUGAAUAAUGUAUCUCAGAUCAAUUUUGACUAUUCUCACCUAUGAACUCCCCUAGAUUCCACUUUUUGGUCUUUCAACCAUCUAAUUUAACCAUUUGAAUAUUGUUUCAAUUGAAAUAUUAACAUUCGUUAUUGCAGCGCACAAAAAAUAGAAACAAACUUGAAUCAUUCAUUUUCAGACUUCCUUUUGAUACCUAGAAUAUACAUCUAUUUGAAUAAUGUAUCUCAGAUCAAUUUUGACUAUUCUCACCUAUGAACUCCCCUAGAUUCCACUUUUUGGUCUUUCAACCAACUAAUUUAACCAUUUGAAUAUUGUUUCAAUUGAAAUAUUAACAUUCAUUAUUGCAGCGCACAAAAAAUAGAAACAAACUUGAAUCAUUCAUUUUCAGACUUCCUUUUGAUACCUAGAAUAUACAUCUAUUCAUUCUUCAUCUAGAAAGAGCAUAUCUCCGUACACCUACAUAAAUUAUAUAGGAUGAUUAAGACCACUAAUAAAUAUCUAUCUAUUCCCCCAAUUUUUGAAAAGAAAUAUGGGAAUAGAUACUCAUACAUAAUGAGUCGCCGGGAACCAGAUUUGAACUGGUGACACGAGGAUUUUCGGUCCUCUGCUCUACCAGCUGAGCUAUCCCGACCAUUCUUGACGCACCAUCCUAAUUUUAAGAAAUUACUUGAGUCUAUGUCAACUAAAUCAAAAAAGGGCCAUCAAAAUGAGGGAAUUUAAUUGGCUAUUCAUUCUUCAUCUAGAAAGAGCAUAUCUCCGUACACCUACAUAAAUUAUGUAGGAUGAUUAAGACCACUAAUAAAUAUCUAUCUAUUCCCCCAAUUUUUGAAAAGAAAU
This 1014-nucleotide long non-coding RNA is filed under the name Lathyrus oleraceus (garden pea). Its description in RNAcentral is "Pisum sativum (pea) long non-coding RNA (PSAT_LNC033033)". The record is from RNAcentral. Lineage: Eukaryota; Viridiplantae; Streptophyta; Magnoliopsida; Fabales; Fabaceae.